This is a long non-coding RNA of Cygnus atratus (black swan), 643 nucleotides long. RefSeq lists it as uncharacterized. The record is from RefSeq and is a predicted model, not a curated record. NCBI's taxonomy places the organism in Eukaryota, Metazoa, Chordata, Aves, Anseriformes, Anatidae. The transcript is spliced from 5 exons.
GGAUUUGUUCUCUUCCCUGAGGAUUCAGAAACCAGACAAUUUUCAGGGCUAUGAAAUAAUAACAUACGUCUAGGAAUUCCUGCUGUUUCCCUCUUGAGACUGCUUUUAAACAACCUGCCAGAAACUGAUCCUUUCUUCCCCCAUUUCUCCUCCUUUACUUUUUUUUUUUUUUUCCUCCAGUCAGUUCUGCACUCUUUGGCUGUUCCUUCAGCUCAUUCAGUGGCACUGAGACCUGCUGGUACUGGCCAGAUGAUUCCCUGCAGUGGAUUGAGGAUGGGAACAUCCGGAGCAGGGUCCUGCCUCUAUAACUUCUGCAGAUGCGGAGCAGUGAUUUCAAACUCAUCAGGAGGGCCCUUUUGAAUUUCAAGUUGGUUCACAGAAACAUGAGAGAGUGAAAUCUGAAUGUUCACACGGAGAUAAAAAAAUCUGCAGAAGUUCGAGCGUUGCAACCAGUGGCACAGGACAAGGCAAUCAGAUGCUGCUGACACGUCAUCUGCUUCUGUCAGACUGGGACCAUUCAGCCCUGCCUGAAAUAGGAUAUGAGGCAGAAGAGCACAUGAAAAAGAGAAGCUAAGGACAGGGCUGGAUGAGUGGCUCCUGUUCCAUGGGAUGAAUCUAUCCCAUGCGCUAGCCAUCUGCAAGC